This 229-nucleotide unclassified non-coding RNA is filed under the name Melampsora abietis-canadensis. Its description in RNAcentral is "sequence contains ITS2". Lineage: Eukaryota; Fungi; Basidiomycota; Pucciniomycetes; Pucciniales; Melampsoraceae. The record is from RNAcentral.
AACCCCCCUCGUCUUUAACGCUUUCUAAAAGAGUUAUUGACGGAUUCUGAGUGUUGGCGUGUCAACGCCUCGCUUUAAAUAUAUCAGCACUUUUGGAUGGUUACAUGUUAGUUCAAAAGACGUACUUGAUGUCGUAUUUAUACAAUUCAUCGAGAUGGUCUUUGGUCGUAUCGACUAUCCGCUAAUAUGACGACUUGAAGAAUAGCUUCCUAACCCCAUUGAAUUUACC